CCUAGUAACUGCGAGUGAAGCGGGAAAAGCUCAAAUUUAAAAUCUGGUAGUCCUUGCGGCUGCCCGAGUUGUAAUCUAGAGAAGCGUUAUCCGCGCUGGACCGUGUACAAGUCUCCUGGAACGGAGCGUCAUAGAGGGUGAGAAUCCCGUCUUUGACACGGACUACCAGGGCUUUUGUGAUGCGCUCUCAAAGAGUCGAGUUGUUUGGGAAUGCAGCUCUAAAUGGGUGGUAAAUUCCAUCUAAAGCUAAAUAUUGGCGAGAGACCGAUAGCGAACAAGUACCGUGAGGGAAAGAUGAAAAGAACUUUGGAAAGAGAGUUAAACAGUACGUGAAAUUGUUGAAAGGGAAACGCUUGAAGUCAGUCGCGUUGGCCGGGGAUCAACCUUGCUUUUUUGCUUGGCGUACUUUCCGGUUAAUGGGUCAGCAUCAAUUUUGACCGGUGGAUAAAGGUUAGGGGAAUGUGGCAUCCUCGGAUGUGUUAUAGCCCUUGGUCGCAUACAUCGGUUGGGAUUGAGGAACUCAGCACGCCGCAAGGCCGGGUUUUUAACCACGUACGUGCUUAGGAUGCUGGCAUAAUGGCUUUAAUCGACCCGUCUUGAAACACGGACCAAGGAGUCUAACAUGCCUGCGAGUGUUUGGGUGGAAAACCCGAGCGCGUAAUGAAAGUGAAAGUUGAGAUCCCUGUCGCGGGGAGCAUCGACGCCCGGACCAGACCUUUUGUGACGGUCCCGCGGUAGAGCAUGUAUGUUGGGACCCGAAAGAUGGUGAACUAUGCCUGAAUAGGGUGAAGCCAGAGGAAACUCUGGUGGAGGCUCGUAGCGAUUCUGACGUGCAAAUCGAUCGUCGAAUUUGGGUAUA
RNAcentral lists this ribosomal RNA (859 nucleotides) under Atractosporocybe sp. 'inornata var. ianthinophylla'. Its description in RNAcentral is "eukaryotic LSU rRNA". It matches the Rfam family "Eukaryotic large subunit ribosomal RNA", at positions 79 to 919 of the family's 3401-position model. Lineage: Eukaryota; Fungi; Basidiomycota; Agaricomycetes; Agaricales; Lyophyllaceae. The record is from RNAcentral.